GGAAAAGAAACUAACAAGGAUUCCCCUAGUAACUGCGAGUGAAGCGGGAAAAGCUCAAAUUUAAAAUCUGGCGACCUUUGGCCGUCCGAGUUGUAAUCUAGAGAAGUGUUAUCCGCGCUGGACCGUGUACAAGUCUCCUGGAAUGGAGCGUCAUAGAGGGUGAGAAUCCCGUCUUUGACACGGACUGCCAGGGCUUUGUGAUGCGCUCUCAAAGAGUCGAGUUGUUUGGGAAUGCAGCUCAAAAUGGGUGGUAAAUUCCAUCUAAAGCUAAAUAUUGGCGAGAGACCGAUAGCGAACAAGUACCGUGAGGGAAAGAUGAAAAGAACUUUGGAAAGAGAGUUAAACAGUACGYGAAAUUGCUGAAAGGGAAACSCUUGAAGUCAGUCGCGUUGUUUGGGAAUCAACCUUGCUUUUGCUGGGCGUACUUUCCAGAUGACGGKCCAGCAUCAAUUUUGACCGUUGGAUAAAGAUUGGAGGAAUGUGGCAUCUUSGGAUGUGUUAUAACCUUCAGUUGCAUACAACGGUUGGGAUUGAGGAACUCAGCACGCCGCAAGGCCGGGUACUCGUACCACGUUCGUGCUUAGGAUGCUGGCAUAAUGGCUUUAAUCG
RNAcentral lists this ribosomal RNA (609 nucleotides) under Pholiota spumosa. Its description in RNAcentral is "partial large subunit ribosomal RNA". Lineage: Eukaryota; Fungi; Basidiomycota; Agaricomycetes; Agaricales; Strophariaceae. The record is from RNAcentral.